UACGGGGGGGGCAAGCGUUGUUCGGAAUUACUGGGCGUAAAGGGCGCGUAGGCGGCCUACUAAGUCGGACGUGAAAUCCCUCGGCUCAACCGGGGAACUGCGUCCGAUACUGGUGGGCUCGAAUCCGGGAGAGGGAUGUGGAAUUCCAGGUGUAGCGGUGAAAUGCGUAGAUAUCUGGAGGAACACCGGUGGCGAAGGCGACCAUCUGGACGGAUACUGACGCUGAGACGCGAAAGCGUGGGUAGCAAACAGG
This 253-nucleotide ribosomal RNA is filed under the name uncultured bacterium. RNAcentral describes it as "partial 16S ribosomal RNA". It matches the Rfam family "Bacterial small subunit ribosomal RNA", at positions 524 to 776 of the family's 1533-position model. The record is from RNAcentral.